RNAcentral lists this ribosomal RNA (403 nucleotides) under uncultured bacterium. RNAcentral's name for it is "partial 16S ribosomal RNA". It matches the Rfam family "Bacterial small subunit ribosomal RNA", at positions 30 to 526 of the family's 1533-position model. The record is from RNAcentral.
AUUGAACGCUGGCGGCAGGCCUAACACAUGCAAGUCGAGCGAGCGGCGGACGGGUGAGUAAUGCCUAGGAACUGCCUGGUAGUGGGGGAUAACUACUGGAAACGGUAGCUAAUACCGCAUACUAUCGGAUAACCCAUAUGGGAUUAGCUAGUUGGUGAGGUAAUGGCUCACCAAGGCGACGAUCCCUAGCUGGUCUGAGAGGAUGAUCAGCCACACUGGGACUGAGACACGGCCCAGACUCCUACGGAGGCAGCAGGGGGGAAUAUUGCACAAUGGGCGCAAGCCUGAUGCAGCCAUGCCGCGUGUAUGAAGAAGGCCCUAGGGUUGUAAAGUACUUUCAGUCGGGAGGCGUUACCGACAGAAGAAGCACCGGCUAACUCCGUGCCAGCAGCCGCGGUAAUAC